GAACGUUGAAGUGUGCCGGCGACCCGCAC
RNAcentral lists this small RNA (29 nucleotides) under Bombyx mori (domestic silkworm). RNAcentral's name for it is "ovarian small RNA-1304". The record is from RNAcentral. Lineage: Eukaryota; Metazoa; Arthropoda; Insecta; Lepidoptera; Bombycidae.